CACGUAGGGGGCAAGCGUUGUCCGGAUUUAUUGGGCGUAAAGAGCGCGCAGGCGGUCGUUCAAGUCGCGUGUGAAAGCCCCCGGCUCAACUGGGGAGGGUCACGCGAUACUGAUCGACUCGAAGGCAGGAGAGGGUAGUGGAAUUCCCGGUGUAGUGGUGAAAUGCGUAGAUAUCGGGAGGAACACCAGUGGCGAAGGCGACUACCUGGCCUGUUCUUGACGCUGAGGCGCGAAAGCUAGGGGAGCAAACGGGG
This 254-nucleotide ribosomal RNA is filed under the name uncultured bacterium. RNAcentral describes it as "partial 16S ribosomal RNA". It matches the Rfam family "Bacterial small subunit ribosomal RNA", at positions 524 to 777 of the family's 1533-position model. The record is from RNAcentral.